UUGACUUUAGAUGUGUUUGUAGAUGAGAAACUUGGCACACAAGCUAAUCACAUGUUGGUAGCUUCAAGAAUAAUUUAACUCUAUAUAGUAGCUGUGAUUGUCAUUUUACUUAUUCUAUAAUUCCUUCCACAAUAAACAUGUAUAGGAAAAUUUGAACACAGCAAAAGACUAAGUGCAUGAGUUUCACUUAUUAGGGUCACACAAUUAACUAUAUUCCGAACCACUAAAAUACUAAAAAAUACUACAAUGCUUCCUCCCAGUAACAAUACUCCUUCAUCAAUUGAUAACCACAAUGUACAACCCUGCACUCUCAAAAGACCGCUCAAAACUCAAUAAAUUCCAUCCAACACCAAGAAUAACAAACUUCACUCCAACCAAUCUGAAUUCACAGAAUUCUUAUAAUCAUAGACAUCCUUUGUUGAAACAUACACACACAACUCUCAAUAAACAACAAUCAUAAUCUUCCAUCCAUAAUCAAUCUUCCAAUAACUUCUCAUAUAAUUCAAUCACUCAGUACUCCAAUUACAUAAUCAAUAAUUCAUAAAUCAAUCUCUGAUUUAUUCCACACACUCACUUCUAAGUAUUCACAAACUAUCCAUUACUCUUCAACAACAAAGAAAACAAAAAAAAAAUAAAAAAUAAAAACAAAAACAAAGAGGAGGUACCAAGCUUAACCCCGGCUCAUGACUAUCACUGUCUAGCCCCCCGACAAACUUCUACAACUCCUAUAUAAUUGCUAUUAAUUUCCAGAUUCUAACCGUAAUCUUAUAAUAAUCACUUUUAAUAACUGAAUCAAUCAUCUGUCUUCCUAAACUAACUGUUCUAUGGACUAUUUGUUUAUUUUACCAAUAU
This 852-nucleotide long non-coding RNA is filed under the name Physcomitrium patens. RNAcentral describes it as "long non-coding RNA (PPAT_LNC009102)". The record is from RNAcentral. Lineage: Eukaryota; Viridiplantae; Streptophyta; Bryopsida; Funariales; Funariaceae.